Long non-coding RNA from Columba livia (rock pigeon), 4059 nucleotides. RefSeq lists it as uncharacterized. The record is from RefSeq and is a predicted model, not a curated record. The transcript is spliced from 2 exons. NCBI's taxonomy places the organism in Eukaryota, Metazoa, Chordata, Aves, Columbiformes, Columbidae.
AGAAAGAAUAAUCACUGGGGGAAACCCUACAGACACAUGCAGUUCAGCAGCACCAUAGGAGCCAAGCACUAGAAGCUCAGCUCUAGCUGUGUCACAUGCUGUGCUGAGUUCACCCAAGCAAUUCUGGAUUUUGCUGGGAAGCCAUCUGUGAACUCAACAGCCUGCAAUACCGACUGGGUAACUGAGUGCAUGCUGCAAUAGCCUUUGCAUGUUCCAGAGCACCGCUCUUCAGCUCAUAUAUCAGACAUUCAAGGAAAUCAGCAUCAUACCUGGGGUUCUCUCUAGGAUAUGACUGCUCUAUACACAGGGAAAUCUCAACCUGGCAAAAAUUAUUUUAAAAAAUGUAGUAGAUAUUUUAAAGAGUUAACACCACCAGCCUGUCACUGAAUCAAAAUUUAUACAUCUUCCUCUGUCCAAUAUCUUGGACAAAACAGCAAAGAAAACCUGUAAAUCACCAAGGUACUAUAAAAAUGCAAAAUAUAUAGAAAACACUUGUGUUCCACAAACCCUUAGUACUGCAGCCGCUCGGAGGUUCUCAGAGCCCAGGGUUAAUGCAAAGCAGUGACUGUGGGAGCACUGUCUGCUCUCCAGAGUGGGGAUGGGACAAAAGGAGCAUGUGCAGCACAGGCCUAAAGGUACAUGGGGUAACCAAAACCAGUUUAGCAGGGAAACAGGGACAGUAUCACACAGGAAGUGAGACUAGGCAAUGAAGAGCCCCAGAGAAAAGCCCAGGAGACAUCAGAUGAGAAGGGGGUAGGAAAAAGAGGUUGGAGCAGGACAGGGAAUGACAAUAACAGAUGAGAACUGGGAACUUGGGACACACAUCCACAGAAAUGACCUGAAUUUGGGGUGGACAGAUGGGGUAGUACAGCCUGCGACAAGGGCAUUCAGGGUUGUAUUGGGUUUGUGUGGCAAGGUUUUCAUAGCAGGGGGGCUACAGGGGUGGUUUUUGUGAGAAGCUGCUAGAAGAUUCCUCCAUGUCCAGUAGAGCCAAUGCCACCCAGCUCCAAGAUGGACCCACUGCUGCCCAAGCCCAAGCCCAUCAGCAACAGUGGUAGCACCUCUGGGAUAACAUAUUUAGAAGGGGAAAAAAACUGCUGCAGGACAGCAGCAGGAAGAGAAGAGUGAGAAUAUGCGAGAGGAACAGCUCUGCAGACACCCAGGUCAGUGCAGAAGGAGGGGCAGAAGGUGCUUCAGGCCCCUGAGCCCAUGGUGCAGACCAUGCUGAGGCAGGUUGUCCCCUUGUAGCCCAUAGAGGUCCAUGGUAGAGCAGACAUCCACCAUGUAGCUCAAAGCGGAUCCCACACAGGAGCUGCCGGAUGUCUAAUUUUGAUUGGCAAUAAAUUAAACUAAUUUCCCUAAGUUGAAUUUGUUUAGCCCAUGAUGGUAAUUGGUGAGUGAUCUCGCUGUCCUUAUCUCGAACCAUGAGCCUUUUCUUAUAUUUUUCUCUCUCCCUGUCCAGUUAAGGAAAGGAGUGAUAGAUAAGCUCUGUGGACACCUGGCAUCCAGCCAGGGUCAGCCCACCAAAAGGGUGAAGCUAAAUAAUGAGCAGAAGAAGCAUGUGCUGGCCCAGGACCCCCACCUCAUCACUGCAAUGUCUGCAAGCAUCCCUGAAUGCCCCCAGCAUCCUCUCCAAUUAAGCAGGUGUCUCACUCCUCCAGUGUCUGCCCUAAGGAGAGGAAAAGCUACAACUGCUGUCAGCUCUCCCACACGUCAACCAACAUGCAUUUGCACACACAGCCUGAAAGUUUCAGCUUGCUGAGAAACCCAUCCAGUGUCUGGGUGGCAUCUCAGGGGAGAACAGAGCUGCCCCUGCCCCCACUACUGCAUCACAGGCCCAUGCCUCAGGAGGCUGGGAGGGGGCUGAAGGAAGUUUACACCAUCAACAUGGCUUUUGCUACAUCCUAUUGCACACAAUAGUAACGGCCCUCCCCCCUUUUUUGGGCUGUGCACUUGUCUUGUCCUUGCUGCAUAUGCAGAUGCCAUUUGCAAUAAUGCAACGGUGCGUGCACAACUAUGCGUGACUGAUCACAUAGAUAAACCAUCACUGCUCUCACACUGUCAGCUAUCGUGUCACCAGGACAGAAAAGCCAGUUGUCUGCAGCUUCUCAAGUUCAUCCACUUGCUGAGGAAGCCAGGUUCUGUCAUCGGUCACCAAAGAGAAGAGAUCAGUGCCUGCCCCUCCUGCUCCCCUUGUGAGGAAGCUGUAGUUUGUAGAACAAGCCCUAUGCGUGGCUCUGCUCCUGUGCAGAUGCCAUGUGCCAGGUUCCACCAGCUGGCAGAUCACAGUUCAUUGAUGUAUGUCUGGCCCUUGGCUUCAUGGCGCAGAAGAAAAUGCUACACUGUUAACACAGAUGAGGCUUUGCUGUGAGAGGCAGGCAGCACCCACCAUCAACACUGCCCAAGACUGGAUACUUCUGCACAGAGGCUGCAUGCGGCAAAAACUUUCCAACCUUACUCAUGAAGACCAACUUCACACUGCAUCUUCCUGACACCUGCAAAGCCAUGUGAGCAAAGCUGCUCUGCACAGCACUGGCUACACAACAAAGCAGGAUUUAGGAGCAAGUAAACUGAUGUCUUUCCUGAAAUAGCCCAAAGCUAAGCUGGGGAGAUGUGGAAAGCAGGAAAUGCUCACUUUGCUGAUUUGGAGGAUACAGACUGGCAGGACAGCUCAACUGCUCUUAGCACAGAUGACUGAGCGGGUUAGGAGUGAGCAGUGCCACAGAACAAUUUGGGGAGGCAGAAAUAAACAAAUGGCAGCAGUUGGUUGUGUGACAACAGAGAUGCCAACUGGAGGGGCAGGAGGCAGGAACUGUGCUGAAAUAGCUGGUAUUGCCAGAGGCUGAAACAGACUUGUGGUAAAAAUAGUACUUCCUAAUAGUGUAAAUCAGUGCUGCAGUAUCCAGUGACAAUACACCUCUUAAAAGCAAGCACCUUCCUUAUAGCUGAUAUCCUUACAAGGAACUGCUCAUGUAGUAACAGUGUCAGGUCUGUGUAAAUUGCAAUUGACCACGUAGAGGAAAAGCUGGUAUUUUUCAACUGCUCUUAAAAUCUGAAAAAAACACUUAUUUAUUCUGCUGUUGGAAUUAAUUCUCAGAAAGAAACUGUCAUUUCUGAUCAGACACUGGACUAGGGCCGGGUUGCUAAAUACUGGUUUUUAAUAUUGUAAUACAAAAAUUCUCUACAGUGCUGCUGUUCUCUACCACUGGUACUAGAUUUCAUAAAGACACUGUACCAAUCUUAAUUUGCUAAAUAAAUAAAUAGCAUGCUGGAAAACAGCAUUAACAUUUCUCAAGGAGCAACUUGCUUCAUUCAAGAUCCUUGCAUAUUGUGUACUAAUUCUGAAGUAAGAGCAAUUAGAGGUAAAAACCACCUAUUAGUACACUGUAUCUGCAGUCAGCCAACAAACCAUAUUUUUUACAAAAUGUUCCUGAAAUUAUUCAUAUGUAAAAAGGGAUUGUAAAGUGCAUUCAUAUGGAAAAAAAAAACAAAACCACAACCUUUCUGUUGCUUCUCUUUGAGGAACUGUACUAGUGGCUGAGUAACUUACAGAACAGUGAGAUUAGCCAGAUAUUUAGGCUCCAAUCCCCCCUUAUCCAGGACUAAUGUUAUUUGCCUCAAAGCUUUUCAGCAUCUUCAUUCCUUCUGCUCAAAACCUGGCUGUGACAGUUUCAAAGCCUCUGAUUUUCCACUGGAGUCUUUGCACACUCUGCUCAACAGUUGUCACUUCUUGGUCAUCACAUCUUUCUUCUUCCUUCAACUGAAAGAGCAAAAACUACCGAAAAAUGAUCUUUUGGAAAAAAAUAAGACAUGAAGCCACCUCAUUCUCCUCCCUGGCAAGCUAGUCUGUCUUAAGGCCAGUUGCAACCAUCCAUCAAAAUAACUUACAAACAGCAGCACACCAGCAGAGCUGCAGAGCAGCAGGCUGCAGAAGACAGGCUGGUACUUAGCACAAAACCUACACAAGAAGAGAGACACAGCAGCACUCACUUCCCGUUCGCACUAUAAAUUUUCUCAGUCAGUGUUAUGACUCUGCAUGUUUGUAGCUUAACACACAAA